RNAcentral lists this ribosomal RNA (372 nucleotides) under uncultured bacterium. Its description in RNAcentral is "bacterial SSU rRNA". It matches the Rfam family "Bacterial small subunit ribosomal RNA", at positions 524 to 898 of the family's 1533-position model. The record is from RNAcentral.
UACGGAGGAUGCGAGCGUUAUCCGGAUUUAUUGGGUUUAAAGGGAGCGUAGGUGGGAUAUUAAGUCAGCUGUGAAAGUUUGGGGCUCAACCUUAAAAUUGCAGUUGAUACUGGUUUCCUUGAGUACGGUACAGGUGGGCGGAAUUCGUGGUGUAGCGGUGAAAUGCUUAGAUAUCACGAAGAACUCCGAUCGCGAAGGCAGCUCACCGGGCCGGAACUGACACUGAUGCUCGAAAGUGCGGGUAUCAAACAGGAUUAGAUACCCUGGUAGUCCGCACAGUAAACGAUGAAUACUCGCUGUUUGCGAUACACUGUAAGCGGCCAAGCGAAAGCGUUAAGUAUUCCACCUGGGGAGUACGCCGGCAACGGUGAA